This 74-nucleotide transfer RNA is filed under the name Urbifossiella limnaea. RNAcentral's name for it is "Planctomycetes bacterium ETA_A1 tRNA-Val". It matches the Rfam family "tRNA". Rfam says of the family: Transfer RNA (tRNA) molecules are approximately 80 nucleotides in length. Their secondary structure includes four short double-helical elements and three loops (D, anti-codon, and T loops). The record is from RNAcentral. Lineage: Bacteria; Pseudomonadati; Planctomycetota; Planctomycetia; Gemmatales; Gemmataceae.
GGUCCCGUGGUCCAGCGGCGACGACGCCUCCCUGACGCGGAGGAGAGCGGUGGUUCGAGUCCACCCGGGAUCAC